CUCAUGUUCGCGUGCUACGUAAAUAAUACUACUAACCGACAGAGCUUGAUAAUUAAGCAAGAAAAAAGAGGAAAGACGUAAACAGAGACCGAAAUAAGCACAAUAUCCACAAGAGAGGGAAACACACUAGAUACGUUAUGCUCAAUAUGAACACGAUUAGUUUCCUUUAUAAACCAAAAUACUUGGAAAUCGAGCAAACUACUGUUUGAUCGUAUACGAUCAGGAAUUUCAUUGACGCGUAAACAUUGAGGGAGUGCCAGCAAAUAGGAAGAUAAAAGAAGUAAAUUUUGACACAUGUUACUGACGAUACUUUACGUACUUGAUGUCUCGAAACUUUUCGACGAAACUUAAUGGUAAUCGUUCACGUAAAUCCACACCAUUAGCAGAACUUGAUUUGUCACUUGCACAA
Long non-coding RNA from Bombus pyrosoma, 409 nucleotides. RefSeq lists it as uncharacterized. The transcript is spliced from 3 exons. Lineage: Eukaryota; Metazoa; Arthropoda; Insecta; Hymenoptera; Apidae. The record is from RefSeq and is a predicted model, not a curated record.